GGCUGCCUACGGGGCGCAGCAGUGAGGAAUAUUGGUCAAUGGGCGGAAGCCUGAACCAGCCAAGUCGCGUGAGGGAAGAAGGCCCUGCGGGUCGCAGACCUCUUUGGACGGGGAGCAAGGCCGCCGACGUGUCGGCGGAAGGAGAGUACCCGUAGAACAAGCAUCGGCUAACUCCGUGCCAGCAGCCGCGGUAAUACGGAGGAUGCGAGCGUUAUCCGGAUUUACUGGGUGUAAAGGGAGCGGAGACGGUGCUGCAAGUCUGAAGUGAAAGCCCGUGGCUUAACCGCGGACCGGCUUUGGAAACU
RNAcentral lists this ribosomal RNA (305 nucleotides) under uncultured bacterium. Its description in RNAcentral is "bacterial SSU rRNA". It matches the Rfam family "Bacterial small subunit ribosomal RNA", at positions 333 to 634 of the family's 1533-position model. The record is from RNAcentral.